This is a ribosomal RNA of Cricetulus griseus (Chinese hamster), 113 nucleotides long. Lineage: Eukaryota; Metazoa; Chordata; Mammalia; Rodentia; Cricetidae. The record is from Ensembl.
GUACAUGGCCAUGCCAUCGUGAACAUGCUCAAUCUCAUCUAGUCUUGGAAGACAAGCAGGGUCAGGCCUGCUUAAUGCUAGGAUGGGAGGAGGGAAAGGAAUGCUUAUGUCAG